RNAcentral lists this non-coding RNA (76 nucleotides) under bovine gut metagenome. Its description in RNAcentral is "Cyclic di-GMP-I riboswitch". It matches the Rfam family "c-di-GMP-I riboswitch aptamer", at positions 12 to 83 of the family's 87-position model. From Rfam's summary of the family: GEMM was predicted in a large-scale screen for bacterial structured RNA regulatory elements. Genes associated with GEMM are involved in a diverse array of functions, including chemotaxis regulation, signal transduction, secretion and chitin. The record is from RNAcentral. RNAcentral also lists the same sequence under 1 other name.
UUGGCAAAAUAAUCGAAAGAUUACGACGCAAAGCUUUAGGACCUAACCUCAUUUAAGAGCAUGGUAGCCAGUUGCA